AUUUUAAGAGGAUAGAUUUGACUGAUUGCGACCUCUUCUAUAAGUUUAUAAUAUAAGCUUUUAGAAAAUACUUAAACUUAAACGAGAAGAAUCUCAAAAUUAAGUUACAAGUAAAAACGCUAAAAAGAAAUUU
RNAcentral lists this non-coding RNA (133 nucleotides) under unidentified eubacterium SCB49. The record is from RNAcentral. Lineage: Bacteria; Pseudomonadati; Bacteroidota.